GUUUCUCAAAACAAGGAAAGCACGAAGUUAGCUCAUCACGGCAGCUCGCCUAAAACAGAGAAAGCACAACAGUUCACCAAAAUAUAUUUUCAUCUACUCUAAUCUUGGGUUCAGUAUAUAGAUUGAAAAUUAGGAUGAUCAAGUAUGAAUUGUACUAUCAGAUAUUCAUUCAUCGCUCCUGGUGCAAUUGGAAAAGGAUGAGGACUAGCUGACGAGGGCUUAAGUCUCUGACAUCAAAAGGCAAAUUUCUAAGCACUAUUGGUAAGGGAUGAGAACAAGGACUUACAAACCUUACCAUGUCUUCUAAUUAAGGAAAUGGAGUGAUACAUAAGAACUAUGUGGUUCUUGAGAAAGAGUGCAUGCAAGUUUAUACUCUAUUUCCUUCUUCUACUAAUGAAGUUAAGAAAUACACCCAAGGA
This is a long non-coding RNA of Solanum stenotomum, 419 nucleotides long. RefSeq lists it as uncharacterized. The record is from RefSeq and is a predicted model, not a curated record. NCBI's taxonomy places the organism in Eukaryota, Viridiplantae, Streptophyta, Magnoliopsida, Solanales, Solanaceae. The transcript is spliced from 3 exons.